UAGAUGCGAGAGUAGAGCAUAUCAAUAAGCGGAGGAAAAGAAACUAACAAGGAUUCCCUUAGUAACGGCGAGUGAAGCGGGAAGAGCUCAAAUUUGAAAUCUUCAAGGUUUUACCUUGACGAGUUGUAGUUUAUAGAAGUGUUUUCUGUUGGAGUUUUGGUAAAAGUUCUUUGGAAUAGGACAUCAUAGAGGGUGAGAAUCCCGUAUUUGGUACAUAUCCUCCUAACUUUGUGAUACACUUUCAACGAGUCGGAUUGUUUGGGAAUGCAGUCCAAAAUGGGUGGUAAAUUUCAUCUAAAGCUAAAUAUUGGCGAGAGACCGAUAGCGAACAAGUACCGUGAGGGAAAGAUGAAAAGAACUUUGAAAAGAGAGUUAAACAGUACGUGAAAUUGUCAAAAGGGAAGCGUUUGACACCAGUGUUGUUUUUCCGAAAAUCAAUUACGAAUGUUUUAUUUUUGAGGAGUUAUGACUUCAUCGGCUUGCUUCUCUCUUUAUGAAACUUUCUUAAUGCACUUUUCGGUUAACAAGUCAACAUCAAUUUCUUUUGUUGUAAAAGGAGUAUGAGGAAGGUGGCUUUCUUUUCGGAGAAAGUGUUUAUAGCCUUGUACCUCUGCAAUCGGAGAGAUUGAGGUCUGCAGCGUAGAUCCUUCGGGGUUAGAUACAUUUGUGCUAAGUUAUAGCUUUUCAUAGACAACUUGUUGAUUAUGUUAGUCUUGUAGCUUACUCGCUUAUGCUAAUUUUACCUACGCUUAGGAUGUUGACGAGACUGUCGAUCUC
RNAcentral lists this ribosomal RNA (777 nucleotides) under uncultured Neocallimastigales. RNAcentral describes it as "partial large subunit ribosomal RNA". It matches the Rfam family "Eukaryotic large subunit ribosomal RNA", at positions 22 to 647 of the family's 3401-position model. Lineage: Eukaryota; Fungi; Neocallimastigomycota; Neocallimastigomycetes; Neocallimastigales. The record is from RNAcentral.